AGCCAGCUGACGAGUCCCAAAUAGGACGAAACGCGCGUCAAAAUGGAU
Non-coding RNA from Schistosoma haematobium, 48 nucleotides. NCBI's taxonomy places the organism in Eukaryota, Metazoa, Platyhelminthes, Trematoda, Strigeidida, Schistosomatidae. The record is from Rfam.